GGUCUUUGUCAGCGUUGGUCAUCAUAUCGGACUGAGCGUGUGUGGUUGCGAGAGAGAAAGAUCCGUACCCCCCCUUCCUUCUAGCGCCAAAUUGUGGGAACCGAAAUUCACACCGUCGAGUUUUGUUAAUCGGAGGAAAGCCAAGUUAACCUAGCCUUCCCUGAAGGUCCCAGUUAUCUGCUGGGCCACACACAACACAAUCAAUAUGAAAGAUUCGAAAGCAAUAAAUCGUAAAAGAGCGAAAAGAGAACAAAGAGGUCUUAUUUCCGAA
Molecule: long non-coding RNA, 271 nt
Filed under: Brassica napus (rape)
Lineage: Eukaryota; Viridiplantae; Streptophyta; Magnoliopsida; Brassicales; Brassicaceae
Description: long non-coding RNA (BNAP_LNC015460)
Source: RNAcentral